This 806-nucleotide long non-coding RNA is filed under the name Sorghum bicolor (sorghum). RNAcentral describes it as "long non-coding RNA (SBIC_LNC007631)". The record is from RNAcentral. Lineage: Eukaryota; Viridiplantae; Streptophyta; Magnoliopsida; Poales; Poaceae.
AUUCUUAUAGUCCACCCAUUUCUGCCAACAAGAAACCGCAUUGAAUGCCUGCCUCCUACAUUCCUAGUUUUUUGCUUUCUCUCCCUCCUCCCAUUCAUGGAGCUCUAUAAUGUAAAUGUGAUAAAACCAUCCUAAAACCAAUGAGAGCCUAGCCACCUCGGGUAAUCAAUCCAAAUCAUGUAGAAGUUAUGACAACCCAACUCGAUCUGAGUGCAGCCAAACAAGCUGAUUGUGCUGUAUGAAUAUGGAUGAAUAGAGACAAAGAAAACAUGUUGAUCAAGUCGCCAUGGUCUUGAAACUGAUAUGAGCAGGUGAGCAUACUAAAAGAACAGAAAAUGUUAUUUACCCAAUGGGUUGAAGCUGAUGUCUCAGUGGCCUAAUCCGUUACUUUUUUAUAUCAGUCUUCAACAUCGAAUCUGUUAUUUACCCAAUGUGUUGAAGCUGAUGUCUCAGUGGCCUAGUCCUCCGUUACUUUUUUUAUAUCAGUGCUCAUAUAUAUGUCAAAUUUCCUGGCUACAACAAUUGCUGCAUGCAUGAGCAUAUGCCACUGAUUUAUCCAUGCAAUUAGUUGAAGAAAAUAAAUAUAAGUGAUGUAUUUUUGCCUGUUGAAAUUACUCGUGAUAACCAUAUAACAAGGACACAACACUACCGGAAUCUGGCUCUUUGCUCAAUGAUAAAUGGUUUGCCCAGUAUUUUUUUGGGCACUCAACAAAGAAGCUCUUUGCUGGCUGCUAAAAAAACACUCGGCCAAAAAAAACACUGGGCAAAGAGGCUUCUUUGCCAAGUAUAAAAAAACAAUCGGCAAG